CAUAAUAACAUUAUAUCUCCAUCAUCACAAAAACAAAUAUUCUCAUUCUUUAUGUCCAUUAUCACUUAAUUUCAAAGUUAUAAUUAGCAUAUAUAUCAUUGCUAAGGUUUCAGAGAUGUCUUCCAAAAAUAGUGCUUCACUUGCCCUCUUUCUCUCUCUUAACCUAGUCUUCUUUGCCCUAAUUAGUGCAUACAGUCCUCCCUAUAAGACCCGUGCAUGUCCUAUAGAUUCCCUAAAAUUAGGGGUGUGUGCCGAUGUGUUAGGCUUGGUGACUGUGAAAAUAGGAUCUCCUCCAACACUCCCAUGUUGUAGUCUCAUUCAAGGCCUUGUUGAUCUUGAGGUUGCCGUAUGUCUUUGCACUGCCAUUAAAGCCAAUGUUUUGGGCAUCCAUCUUGAUAUUCCUCUUUCACUCAACUUAGUUCUUAAUAAUUGUGGGAGGAAACUCCCAAGCGGAUUCGAAUGUGCCAAUAACUAGUUCUACUUUCUUUUAAAUUCUCUAAGCCUUCCACCUUUUGGACGUUCUGCAUUUUAGUGUUAUUAUUGAUCUAUUGUAAAGUGUGCUAUUUUUCGUAUUUGUCAUUGCAUGGUCACCUUUUGUUACCUUUGUUAUAUUGUUUGUAUAAUGAUUCGAUUGAGUGAUAUUCAAUAAAUUUAAUUACUUUAUUUUUUAUAAAUUUUGGUCUUCUAGUCUUUCAUGUUAUGCCUAAUUAAAUAUCAAUCACGCACAAUCUCUCCUUUAUAUUUAGCAUUUAAUUAGAAGCAAUUAAGCAAUAGAUUAUGUUAAUAUUUUACUAGUCACAUACAUUAAUGACGACAAAGAAACCUUUACUAUCGAAAGCGAAUAUUAGAUUCGUACGUGGAGGUUUCCCUCUAAAGAGCCAGAAUCAAUAACAUGAAAGUAAUGAUAAAUCAUUAUUUUAUUAUUCUCAAACUUAAAUGAAAAACCGUCAACGUCAAAUUUAGAUACAGAAAUUAAAUUCUAUGUCAUACAAGGUGAAACCAUUCUCCAAAACUAAAGGAAGAGUUCCUACGACUUCAACUUGUAUAAACUUUCCAUUGUUAACUUUAAUGGUUUUUUCCCCUUUUUAGAGUGUCUUCUUUGAAAGGAAUCCCUGCAAUGAAUUAGUAAUGUGUCAAGCCACAAUGUAUUACAAGAAACAUCAAUUAGAAAUGAUUCAUAAGUUAUUUGCCUUAUUUGUUUUGAUAGAAAUUGACUUAUCUUUAUUUUUAAAAAUCUUUGCCAUUUUUUAUGAGCCUUCUUCAUAUGGAAGCCAGUGGUAGUCAAAUGAGCAACACUAAAAAUUUUCAAUCUUAAGCCUUUCUUCUUCUUUGACGCACAUGACGAUUAACUCGCUCAUCUUCCACUUUUCAUUCUACGUGUUAUAAUUGAUCUUAAAUGGAUCAAACUGUGCAGGAAGAGAAGUCAUAAUGAAGUGAACAAGAAAACUCUCAGAAAUCAUCAUGUCCAUACCCUUUAAUUUAAAGGCCAUGUUGUUCAUCAUCAUAAGGUGCUCGGGCAUUCCACUAACCCCAUCGUACCUACUACUGAGCAUUUUCAAAAUAAGGGAACUUGCGUGAGUUUUAGAAGAACCCUUAAAUUGUUCCUCCACCGAAGUUAUUAAGUAUUCUUUAGCAUUCUCAGAGUCAGGAAUGGCUACUCGAAUGACUGUCGUGAUAGAGUUUUUUAUAAUCAUAAGGGACAUGCGGUUGGAUCGAUCACACUUUUCAUAAGUAGUCUUUUGCUCAAUUGAGCUAGUAGCUGCUGUAAGUGGAGCAGGAGAAUACACUCGUAAUGCAUAGUCCAAAUUCAUAUCGCCGAGAACAAUUUUUUUUUACUUGCUCUUUCUAAAUAGUAAAAUUAGUUCCAUGCAAAGCUUUAAUUCUAGAGAGAUGCCCAGAAAUACUAGUUGGAGUCAAUGCUGAAAUAUAAUCAAGCUCAUAAACAUGUUUACAAACAACUAAAAGAAAUCCACAAUGUACAACAAUAAUUAAUAAUUAAUCAUAAUAAAACCAACAGUAGGGAAAACAGUUAGUUACAUAAAAUCUAUUUACAACACCCAAAAAAUAGAUUUUAAUGAGAUGUUGGUGCAUAAUUAUCAAUCUUUCGUUAGUCCAAUUAAUAAUAUGCUAAUAACAUUUCCCAUAAAAUAAUGUACAACACAUUUAUUCACGCAUCAUCAUUGGGCAAAAACGAAAUAAACAUGUUACUUAUGCAAUAAAAUUCCAUUUAAUAAAAUUUUAAUUCUAAUUUUUCCGUUGGGUAAAAAUUAAAAUUUUCAUUUAUUAAGUGUAACAUUAUGCGAGUUUUCCUAAUCUUUAAUUAUUUCAAUUAAUAACCAUCCGUUGGGCUGAUUAUUAAUUUUAACAAUAAAAGAGUCACUCAUACAUGUAAAUUAUUAUAAUCAAACUCAUUUUCUUUAAACAACAUAUUAAUUAAGUUUGAACAUUAACAUUAUUUAUAAUUUACAUGUAACAACUUAAAAGCCCUAAUAAUAUAUCACAUCACGUUCUAGAAUCUUAAAUUAGGAUAUAUAGUAAUAAACAUGAAUUAAUUAUAUAUAAAGUAAUCAAAUUAAUUCUAACUAAGGCAUAAUAAUACCAUAUAGUCAAAAUGACUAAAAAAAAUAUGCAAAACAUGUAUAUUACUUAUUGAUGGUUUCAUGUAAAAGGUGAAUUAAUAUAUACCAUCAAAAGACUAUAUUACGUGCACAAUAGAUAAUUAGUUUUCUCUGAAAUUCUAAAAUCGUGGAUUAAAUCUGUAUGCUACUUAUUCCAUUAAUAAUUAGUUCCUUUGCAGUACAGUAACGCAUGUGCAUGAAUUCAUCAAUUCAUUAUUCUUUCAGAAAUUCCUUAACAUAUUGCAUAUUGAAUAUUUAUAUAUUAUACCAAUAAAUAGGUUACGCGGAAUUAAAAUUUAUAGCAGAACGUAAUUAAUUUAUUCUAUACAAUAGCGUAACCAUAGCUCUGAUAUCAGAUGUUAAAUAAUUAUAUCGAAAUGUGAUAUUACAUAGAAUAAAAUCAAUUAAUCAAUCAGGUACUUACAUGAAUUGAGGGAAGUCAUCUUGUAUGCAUCACACUUCCACUGCGCUUAAGGGUGAAAGUAUUCAAUUGUCUCUUUUAAUCUUAGGAUGAAUGUAUAGGUGUGUAUAAAAUUCUUGAGACGACAAUUGGGACCAAACCCUAACUGUUUUAUUUAUAGAAUAACUAAAGGUCAAAAAUCAUCUAUCAAGAUUAUGAAACUCUAGGGCCCAUUAUGCGAAGUAUUAUCAUUAAUAUUAUUUAUAGGCCAAAUAAUUAAUUAUCAAACUCAUAAAUAAAAUAAUUAAAUUAAUACAAUAUGUAAGCCCAAUAAUUACAUAAAUAGUACUAGAGGUCACAUAAGAAAAUAAAAUAUUCUAACAAAGGGUGCUAUUUUUCGUAUUUGUCAUUGCAUGGUCACCUUUUGUUACCUUUGUUAUAUUGUUUGUAUAAUGAUU
This 3476-nucleotide long non-coding RNA is filed under the name Panax ginseng (ginseng). RNAcentral describes it as "long non-coding RNA (PGIN_LNC017965)". Lineage: Eukaryota; Viridiplantae; Streptophyta; Magnoliopsida; Apiales; Araliaceae. The record is from RNAcentral.